UACUAUUUGAGGGAUACCGUGUAUAAUGUGAGGGGUGACAAGUUAAUUUCUCGAACACGUUGCACCUAUAAAUUCACUAAACAAAACACACCAUUCGAUUUGUUCAUCGUUGCAGAUCUUCUAUGCAGAAGCUUUCUUCAUUUUUCAAGAAUUUCAAGAUUGGCGACUACAACGAUCACAACGAUUCUACACCAUUUUUCUUCAAUCACAUGCAGAAAAUCGAAGAAUAAAAUAGAAAUUGUGAUUUUACUAUUGGUGAAUCUUAACCUCAGAUUCGUUGGAAAAUCUUUAUCGUUUGAAUCAAGAGGUAGAGAUAGAAGAGAAAUUGCAGAAAGUGGCUAA
Molecule: non-coding RNA, 342 nt
Organism: Vicia faba (fava bean)
Lineage: Eukaryota; Viridiplantae; Streptophyta; Magnoliopsida; Fabales; Fabaceae
Source: the annotation of a GenBank genome assembly